AUUUUUGGAUCAAAAUGAUAUAAAUAAUGGUUCAUAAUGGGGAAAAGUGGUUUUUUCUGUGGUGUGUAGUAUGCACAGUUUUUCAUCUUUGACUUGAGACUUAAAUUGAUUAAAUUUUCAAAGGAAACUAUUGAACCGUUUUCGAGAAAUUGCCUGUUAUGUGUCCAACCACAUUUUGGGUUUUAUCCAAUUUGGCCACCCCGCAUGAAUUUUCUUAGUCGCUAUUGGCCAAGUGGGCCGUGCUUGCAAAGGCCAUAUCUUAAAAAUAAGAAUUUUCCUGGAUAUAAGCUAUGUGGAAUUUUAUAACUUAUGUAAAAUCGGUGGAAGUAAAUAGAAGUAAAAUCGGUGGAACUUUCAAAGAAAACUAUUGAACCGUUUUCGAGAAAAUGUCCGUUAUGUGUCCUACCAGAUGAGCAAUUUGAUAAGCGCUUGGGUCGCUUUCGAGUACUAGAACUGUUGCACUACUGUUGCAUUGGAUUCAAUAUAUAAAUAUGCUUGUGGUGUGGAGCGAUCGAAGUGACCAUCAAAAUUGAUGGUUAUUGUAAUCAAUUUUGAUAUGCAUGGGUAUUUCAGAGCUUUAUUUCUUUAAAGUGUUAAUUUUUUAAAUCGAUUUUUUUCAUUUACUUUACAUAAUUGAAUUUAAAAUUGAUUACAAUUAUCGCGUUACGGUCGCUGUUUUGCAGUUUGGAGUUGAAGUUAAUAUUGUUUUAUUUUCAACAGACAUGGAAUGCAUACCUGCAGUUUUUCCGUGUACUUUUUAAUUUGAUCGCUUUAUUUAGCGUGAAAGAGCCUGAAAUGCUUCCGCCAAUUUUUCAUUUCGAAGAAAUCUUGGGAACAACCUCUCACAGAGCACACAUUUUUUUUCUUUUCAUUAUCAUGGCUUUUUGAUUGUUGUACCAUUCGUUUGUGAUUGGAUGACACACACCGUACUUUAAUGUUAUGGUUUUUGAUUCUUUUGAAUCAUUUUUCUCCUUUCUUUCACGCUUAAUUUUUUUCGUAUUCAUUUUCGUGAAUUUAACACACUUCAACAAACGCUGUAAUGGUUUAAUGGUUACCUAUAUGAUUCGAUUAAAAAUGGUAAUUACGGUGUGUCCUGUCAACAAAUUGAAUGACAGAUACAACAACACCAUAUCCAUACACAUUGGAAGCGUCUUCUCUAUUAUGGAAGCGUCCAGUACUGCAGUACUAGAUUGAGUUCUUGUAUCUGUCAUUCAAUUUGUUGACAGGCUUAUCAAAUUUGAUUACAAUAGUUAUCAAUUUUGGUGGUUGCUUCGAUCGCUCCACACCACAAGCAUAUUUAUAUAUUGCAUCCAAUGCAACUAUAGUGCAACAGUUAUAGUGCUCUGAAGCGACCCAAGCGCUUAUCAAAAUUGAUUGCAUGCAUAUCAAUAAUAAUCAUUGUAACUUACGUAAAUUUCAUUUCGUUGAAAUUUGAUUUUUAACUCAUUCACGAAAUAUUAUUGUAAGCAUUCAUUUUUUAUGUUUUCUAUACAGUAAGUCAAAAUUGUGAAUUAGAAUUUUCUUGGAUUGAAUUUAAACUGUUCUGUUUCUUAUUCACUGUGCUUUAAGUUCUUGUAAUCAGUUCGGGGAUGCUCAAGCGUCCGGAACAUUCAGAAUCAUAGUUUCAACAUAGAAAAAUGCCACCAAUAAAUCGUUUCUCAUCGCCUGGAAUCCCAGGGCCUGGACAAAAACAAAAAUCACUCUAAAUCUGAGGAAAAAAAAAUUAAAAAAUUGUCUUGAAAUCCUGCGAAUUGCGGAAAAAAUGUCAGCCCCGAAUAGCGGAAAUUUUCUAGAACAGCAACCGAGAUAUUCGAUGAUGAUGAGCUACUGCCAGUUAGUGAAACAAUCAUAGUACCUAGUCAAACUGCAACUUCAUCGACGGUCAAUGUUCCAUUGACACCAUUCCCAGCAUCUAUCAAACCAUCGGCUCUUGUUCAAGAAGGCGGUUACUCAGCACCAGCUCCAGCUUCCGUUGAAAUUGUUAAAGUAAUCGAAGAACAAGGUGGUCACAAAUUUCAAGGUGAAAAGAAAUUGUUCAAAAUUCGUUGAAAGAAAUAUGAUGAAGUAGAUGAUACUUGGGAAUUGGAGGAGAAUUUGUCAUGCCCAGAAAUUUAUAAUCGUUAUUUGGCUGAUCAUCCAGAUGCAGCUGCAGCUGUUAAUGAAACAAAGCGAGUAUCAAAAAGACGUACGGAUGGAGAACGUAAACAGUACAUCGACAACGGUGGUAAUGGAAGCGGUCGCAACAAGGCUGUAGUUCAUAGAAAACGUACGCAUGACAAUGAUGGUCCACAGGAUCCCAACACCAAAAAGCGUAAAAUGGAUGUGGCACCUGGUUCCAAUCUUUUGAAUAUUUGUCUUAGAUGCGGCCAAUCUGAUUUACAUGAUGAAGCAAAGUCUUCAUUUGAAAAGAAUACAUGCAUUGAAGGUCGAAAUCCACAAUCGUUGGUAUUGGAAUUCUGGCUGAAAAAUUGGCAGCAUGAUUGGAGAACAGUGACGCUUCGAAAAAAGACGCUCCAAAGGAUGGGCAAAUUUAACUAUU
Molecule: long non-coding RNA, 2539 nt
Organism: Contarinia nasturtii (swede midge)
Lineage: Eukaryota; Metazoa; Arthropoda; Insecta; Diptera; Cecidomyiidae
Exons: 3
Source: RefSeq, a predicted model, not a curated record